ACCCUGGUUGUGUUUCUGUGUCAGUAGACACCACAUCUCUUGGGGCCUCAUGAAAUCAGAGGGCCAUAUCUAACCCAGGUACCAUCACAUCUCACCAUCUCUCAGCCCCUUUGAGAGAUGGGCUUCCUGGGCACUGAUUAGUGGUGGAAGAAUUUUUUUUUUUUUUUUGAAGUACACAUUGUCCUGAUCAGGAUUUGUUCCAAUCCUAAGCUUGAUGCAUUCACCUGCUAAAGCAUUUUUAUGUACCCACACACAUGCACACUCACCCACAUACAUCUGCAAACGUGUGCACAUACAGUUUACCCUUCAGAAAGGAAAUGUCUCUGUUUUUUCCAAAUGAAAAAACUUGGGCGAUUAUGACAUUACUGUCUGUUCUUAUUUAUUGUUAUUAGAUUAAAAGUAUUUUUAAAACUUAUAAUACCAAAAAUAUGUAUAUAUCUG
Molecule: long non-coding RNA, 441 nt
Filed under: Homo sapiens (human)
Lineage: Eukaryota; Metazoa; Chordata; Mammalia; Primates; Hominidae
Description: non-protein coding lnc-PJVK-1:1
Source: RNAcentral